UAAGGAAUAUUGGUCAAUGGACGAAAGUCUGAACCAGCCAUGCCGCGUGAAGGAUGAAGGUCCUCUGGAUUGUAAACUUCUUUUAUCUGGGACGAAAAAAGGGAAUUCUUUCUCACUUGACGGUACCAGAAGAAUAAGCAACCGGCUAACUCCGUGCCAGCAGCCGCGGUAAUACGGAGGGUGCAAGCGUUAUCCGGAUUCACUGGGUUUAAAGGGUGCGUAGGUGGGCAGUUAAGUCAGUGGUGAAAUCUCGGGCUUAACCCGGGAAACUGCCAUUGAUACUAUCUGUCUUGAAUACUCUGGAGGUAAGCGGAAUAUGGUCAUGUAGCGGUGAAAUGCUUAGAUAUGACAUAGAACACCGAUUGCGAAGGCAGCUUACUACGGAGUUCAUUGACACUGAGG
RNAcentral lists this ribosomal RNA (402 nucleotides) under uncultured bacterium. RNAcentral describes it as "bacterial SSU rRNA". It matches the Rfam family "Bacterial small subunit ribosomal RNA", at positions 355 to 751 of the family's 1533-position model. The record is from RNAcentral.